GAUGAACGCUGGCUACAGGCUUAACACAUGCAAGUCGAGGGGAAACGCCGGGGAAGCUUGCUUCCCCGGGCGUCGACCGGCGCACGGGUGAGUAACGCGUAUCCAACCUGCCUCUGACUGAGGGAUAACCCGUCGAAAGUCGGCCUAAUACCUCAUGGUAUCGUCUGCGGGCAUCCAACGACGAUUAAAGAUUUCAUCGGUCAGGGAUGGGGAUGCGUCUGAUUAGCUUGUUGGCGGGGUAACGGCCCACCAAGGCUACGAUCAGUAGGGGUUCUGAGAGGAAGGUCCCCCACAUUGGAACUGAGACACGGUCCAAACUCCUACGGGAGGCAGCAGUGAGGAAUAUUGAUCAAUGGGCGAGAGCCUGAACCAGCCAAGUAGCGUGCAGGAAGACGGCCCUAUGGGUUGUAAACUGCUUUUAUGCGGGGAUAAAGUGAGGGACGGGUCCCUCAUUGCAGGUACCGCAUGAAUAAGGACCGGCUAAUUCCGUG
This 491-nucleotide ribosomal RNA is filed under the name uncultured bacterium. RNAcentral's name for it is "partial 16S ribosomal RNA". It matches the Rfam family "Bacterial small subunit ribosomal RNA", at positions 28 to 507 of the family's 1533-position model. The record is from RNAcentral.